CGGCGCACGGGUGAGUAACGCGUAUGCAACUUACCUAUCAGGAGGGGGAAACCCGGCGAAAGUCGGACUAAUACCGCAUGAAGCAGGGGCCCCGCAUGGGGAUAUUUGCUAAAGAUUCAUCGCUGAUAGAUAGGCAUGCGUUCCAUUAGGCAGUUGGCGGGGUAACGGCCCACCAAACCGACGAUGGAUAGGGGUUCUGAGAGGAAGGUCCCCCACAUUGGUACUGAGACACGGACCAA
This 239-nucleotide ribosomal RNA is filed under the name uncultured bacterium. Its description in RNAcentral is "partial 16S ribosomal RNA". It matches the Rfam family "Bacterial small subunit ribosomal RNA", at positions 96 to 334 of the family's 1533-position model. The record is from RNAcentral.